GUUUUUUUUUUUUUGAGGUUGCAGUGGAGUGACACGGGGGUGCUCCUUGGGCUUCAUUUCUGCCUAGCAGGCUCUAAUCCAGCAACAUUCAUGAAGAGGAAUAGUCGGCCUGGCACAGUAAACUCUACUCUUUGUUCUCCUUCCAAUAGCACUAGUGUCAAAAACACUCUUAUAUUAUGAGACGGAGGGAGUACCUCUUAAGGGCAACUCCAACGGGUUCACGGAACGGAUAGCAUCAAGUCCAUAAACACGUCCAAAUGUGUUCGUGCACAGCGGUACGAGAGCCGACCAUCCGACCAUAUCCAUCAAAUGUUCGCUCUUUGUCCAAUAAAAAGAUGGGAGAGAAUGAAGGAGGAGCGAAGGUAGGUUUCUGGUGGGUUUGAGGCUGAGUCGACGUAUCUGUGGCAUUCUGUACUCCCCAAACCUCCCACAAGUUUAUGUGCCGUUUGUGGGAUUUUGGACAUCCGAACGGAUUUGGUACACGGCGUUGGAUGGUGAAAAGUGUGUGGUCCACGCGGUCCAAACAUUUGGGGUUGUUUCAAAGAACCGUGUUGAAGUUGCCCUGACGUCCCUAGUAAAAAAACUAUUAACCUUUUUUUUAGUGAAUUCCAAUUUUUACCAUUUAUUUAGGGUCAAUUUUGCACAGAAAAUAUAUAUCGCUUACUGUGAUACAUAUGAUAGCCUCGCCUAUAGGAGAGCCUCCUGAAACACUGAAGUGAGUUGGCCCAAGAAGCGGUUUUGGAAAGCCUCUAAGGACAUGUUCAUCGAACCUUCUGCCUGGUUUUGGGACGAUUCAAGGCGGGUUUUUUUAGUGUUUGUCUCUACCAGAUUUCAUAGGUUUUUCAUUUGCUUUUAUUUUUUCUAUUUUCUAUUUUUCAUUUUUCCAAGAAUAUAUGUCAACAUUUUUUCAGUUCACGUUGAACAUUUUUUGUAUACAGCUCCCAGAUUUCUUACAUACACAUUCAACAUUAUUAAAAUACCCGGCGAACAUUUUUAAGCACACUUUGAACAUUUUUCAAAAAUUACAUGAUUUGUUUAGACAUGCAAACAUUUGUGAAUGUUAGAACAGUUUUUAUGAGUUACGAGCAUUUUUUGAAAAUUGCAUGACCAACUUUUAGUUCUCCUAAACAUUUUCUAAAAUGUCACGGAACAUAUUGUUAAAAUUCAUGAACAUUUUUCCUACCAUGAACAGUGUUCUGAAUGGUAUGAACAUUUUUACAAAUUACGGAAAAAAGAAUUCCAUGAUCAUUUUUAAAAACACCAAGAACAAAAUUUAAAUGUGGAAGCAUUUUUUAAAUACCAAGAUCGUUUUUUAGAAAUUGCAAAAAAAUAGUUUUACAUUAUUUUAAUGUGCAGUGAACUUUAAAAAAAAUAAGAACAUGCUGAUUAAAAAAUAGAAUAUUUCCAAAUAAGAAAAAAUACAUAAAAAUACGGAACAGAACGAAGGAACGAAAGAGCGCACUACUGGGCCAUUGCACUAGCGGGUCAGCUGAGGCGAGGAUAUCACAAUUUUUGGGUCCAAAUAUAACAAAAGUAGCCCCAUUUUGUUUUAUGCGCAUAUCCUUUUUAUAUAGACGACAUAUGAAAAUAUAUAUUGAUGCAAAUUCAUACGCACAAACAACACAUGUACUUGUAUAUUUUUUUCAGAUUUUUUUGGUGGCAUAAAAAGUAAUUCGGAGCCCGUCUUCCAAAUCAUGUUUCCGCACUUUUAGCUCAUUUAACAAAAAAAAAUCCUCUUUGUUCAAAUUUUACCUAUUUUCAAGUUCUGUACUGUUCUAUCGGGGGUUCCCAUACUAGCCCUAAGUGGCAAAAUCAAUGAGCCUCUCUAGUUCAGUGCAUCUAUUGUGAGGCAGUCUGAUGCGGCACAUGGGGUCGAGCAACCUGGUUCAGCGCGACUUGGCCCGAGUCACUCGCCAUAUUCUUCAUUUUGCUACGUGUAAGUAUAGGGAUAUAUCAUGGGUAACACCAGGGCGGGCCGAAGGCCACUACGCGCGGGUGAUCGCCAAUGGUCGCCAGAGGAAGAACACACACGUGGUAAGAUAGUACCUUCUCACCCCUCCUGCUAGCAAGUGUCAUGUAGGCUUCUAGUUAGGGUUGCUCCAGCACCACCACCGCCUCUUCAUCGGAGGACAAAUCACCGUUGCUUCCACUUUCGCUUCGAAAUACCUAGCUCGGAUAUGGGGAGGAGGUCUUACUCGGGUGUGGCAGUCAGGCUUAACAAGAUCGCCGCACCCAUCUACUGGGUGAGAUGCAUCUUGAGGAAUGUGUCACACAUGUGGCAUCUGACUCACCGCUCCACAUGAGACUAGCAGCUACUCCUACAGUAGGCCUCCACAUUUAUCUCAUUUGGCAAAACUUUAUAAAAGGAAAAAUACUGAAACAAAUUUGCUUGCGGUUGCAGAGUAAUUUCUGAUAAAUGAGAUAAAUGUGCUGCAGAGUCAAUCUUCCAUGGUAAGAGGUGAUAUGCACUCAAUCUUUUUGAAUAAAGUAGUUUUAUAGAACGCUCCAAUUAGUAGAACGUUACAAGCCACGUAGUUGGAACUACACAACUAAUUAACACUCUCCUUUUCUUAGGAACGAACAAUCAGGCGAUUAGUUAGAACCAAGAUUUUUUUUUGAAACGAGGCAAAUGACUUGUCAAUUUCAUUGAUUAAGAAGGAGUGAGAAUUGCCUGGUUAAUUGACGGAAAACCGGGCUAAAACCGAUACAAUCCAACCAACAUAACAUGUGUACCACCGGUGAACCUGGCCACCGACAUGGGAUCACUGAGCUACAAACAGCUGCACGGAAACCAUGACGGCACAUGCCAACAGAAGGCCAUACACGUGAACACCCGACAGCUCCACUUUGACGAUGAUCAUCACAAGGGAAAUAUGCAGGAUUGCGCCGACCGUGCCCUCCGUAACCGAGCACCGUUACACAUAAUUGUGCCUAGCACUCUUUUGUCUGUUCCGGUUGCUAUUAUACCAACACAAACUGGAACUCCAAUAUUUACAUGCUGCAUCAGACCAUUUGGAGCAGUAUACAUACCCUAAUCUGAACUCUAAUCCAUACAUGCCAUGUCCCAUUAGGUAGCUGCUGGAACAAUCUUAGUUGAAGUUGCGUAAAAUCUGACUUUUUUUUUCCUGAUCAUUGUUAGCCUUUUUAUCCAAAAUAUUGACAGUCUGAGGGUGAACAUAUCUUCUCAGGUAUAGAUUACCAGAUGUCCUAUAAUGAUUCAUAUGAACUAAAAAGAGGAAAGCACAUGACAAAAAGUUAUGCGUUUUUCAUCGCUGUAAAGAACAUAUGUGCUGAUUGGGCCUAUCAUUUGCAAGCAUAAUAGAUUAAGUUUAAGCUUCUUCUGAUGGAGUACUUUCCAUGUCAAUGCCUUGUUUCAAUGUGUAGCUCCUCUGUCAAUGCACUAAAAGCGAAAAAAACACUUCAUAGAAUAUGUAUUACUUUAAUUUCUGGAAAGAACUUUGAUCAACUUAGUUGACAUUCUCUUUAGUUCUUAAAGCACCAACAGCAAAUUGCACUUUAUGGUUGCCUUCCAACGGUAGUGGUACGGCUUAUAAUCAUACUCGCAAAGUAAACUGUGUAGACAUAAUAUGCAGAAAUAGACAUAGACAUCUUUAAGAGCUAACAGAUCAUCAAUGGUGUUUACACAAAUUAAAUACAACCGGGUCACUCAUAUUAAUUAGGUAAGCUAGUUGGUAGAUUGUACUCCCUCCGACCAGAAAUGUAUGAUGUGCAAGGGCUUACGGUUCAACUUUGGCCAACAAUUAAUCUAAUAAAAUUUGAUAUAUAUUGUGUAAGAAUUGUAUCACUUAAUUCAUGUGCAAACGCAUUUUUCAAAUAGUGACAUGUUUGGACAAUUCACAUAUUAAUUGCUUAACUGUUCUUCAAAGUUAAAUUUCAUACUGCAUGCGCAUCUUAAAUUUUGGAGCGCAGAAAUUACUUGCAUACGUCGAGGGGGAAAUCUAGCAGCAAUUGUCCCUCCAGUACUAUAUGCUGGCAUCAGGACUACAGUUUCUUCAUUUUGAGGAGGAUCACACAUGAAUACUUUACGAACUGAAGACACAGGACAUGCAUGCAUGAUGCAUGCUAUAUUUUGAGGAACAUUUGGGUACCGUUCCAUUUAAUGGCAUAAACCGUAAGCAAAAUCUGAACGAGAACAUCAGCGCAAAUUCUAUAAAGAACUAGUCAUCUUGCCCCAAAUUACAGAACUUUAUCUAGGUUAAUUAAUUCAUGCUUAUUUAUAAUGAUCACAACAUUUUUGCACUACAAAUGAGUCCCAACUCCCAACCUCUUCCUUACUUAUGUCAUUCCUGUUCCGUUCUGCCCCAACAUUCUAAGUCCUGUACGUUAUUCAAGUAUAUAGAAAAAAAAAUGCCACAACCUCACAGUUACGUUCUUAAUCACCCCCACCCACUUUGAAGGGACAAGAAAUAUAUAUAAACAAGAACAAUACGAUCUUAGUGCACAUCAAAUAGUCUCCAAGAAAACUCGAAUUAUACUGGAAAAAGACAUACAUUUGACAAUAUUUUUGGAGGAUCACAGUCUAAGCAUAAUUUCGUCGAAGGAUUAAGCAGAUCAAGAUUAAGGAUUGCAUACUGCAGCAUCAUCGCAUGUAAAAGCUAGCUAUACUACUAGAUUAUACCAACACGUACUACUUCAAUAUCAGAUCCAUAGGAAUCUUUAGAAAGGCGGUAUAAGAGUAGAUAGGUUCCGUAAAAGAGUUGGAGGAGCUAGCUAGUCCAUGAAAACAGUUGUAUAACUGGAUUUUCCACAUGUGCGGCCAUUGAAUCAGCUUGUCUAUCACUAUAUCAGCUGUCCAUCACUGCCUUCUAGCUUGUUCUCUUGAUCAUCUCUUGGCAAUACAUACAUAUUUAUGGCAUGACAAGUCGAAUCAUAUACAGAAUACUACUGCAGUACACAACUAUACAGAACAGAACUCAGACAAGAUAACUUAUUUCCAACCAGAAAUAUAUAGCAUAUUGAUCAUACCAAGAAGCAUUUUUGCUGUCUAGUCAACUAGGUUUCUGCGGUGAUCAUGUAUAGAUCCAGCAGUGAACUCUCACAACCCCUCUACUAGGAUUAUUACUAGCUGGCUGGCUAGGACUAGAACCUGAGCAUGAUUGAUCGAUUGAUCGACGUAGACUUUAAAAAUUGCACAUAUAUUGCCCAACUCAAACUCUCAAGCCCAAAACAUGAUCAGGAUUCAGGAAAUCAUCGAUCGAGGAGUAUAUCUUGUGGUGAUAUAUUAAUUCUGCGCUAGCUAGUUGUAGUGGUUCUUACGAGCGAUUUAGGUACGCAUACGCCACGCUCUGCAGGUCCUCGCAGUCUUGGUACCCCGACGACGACCUCCACCCGCUCUCCUCCGUCCCGAACGACGACUGCUCCGCCACCUCGAAGGCCGCCACCGCGGCAUGCCCGUCGUCGUCCGACGCCGACUGCUCCAGCGCGUGGUACAUCAUGUAGUCCGACGCCGCCGAACCGGCCAGCAGCGCGCUGAUGGAGUCGUGCCCGGCCGUGGCGCCACCGUUGCCGCCGUACGCGCACUGCUGCUGCGCGGCCGCCGCGCCCACGCCGUUGCCGUUGUGCCAUUGGUAGCCGCCGUGCGCGUACUGAUCCGCCGCGCCGCCUCCCACGUAGCCUUUGACGUCGUCCUGGUGCUGCAUCCCUUGCGGCGCCGGCGGGGCGUGCGCCUUGAGCGAGGCGAGCUGCGCCUGCAGGGUCAUGACCUGCUGCUGGAGCGCGAAGAUGUGUGCGACGCAGCCGUAGACGGGGUCGCGCAGGCGGGCCUGCGCCUCGUAGGAGACGGUGACGGCGGCCUCGGCGCGGUCGGAGAUGGGCAGGUGCGCCAGGAGCUUGGAGACGUUGCUGGCGCCGAAUACCUUGUGGAUGGCGGCGAAGUGCGCCGCGCCCUGCUCGUGGCAGAAGUAGGGCGCAAAGACGCACCCGCGCGCGCACUUGCGCCGCAAGAACUUGCACGCUCCGCACGGCGACCCAAGUCCCGUCAUGCUCAUCAACCGACCGGUGAUGAUCGCUGGAUCGCUCGGUGAUCGGACUGAUUGUGUUGUCUCUCUCCGGUGUCGCGGUGAUCGCUGCUGCUGCUGAGGAUGGUUGGAGUGCAAUGGCCGGCCGAGCGCCAUUGCUUAUAAGGAGAGGAAGAGGAAGGGAGGCGGAGUGCAUGGUUGGGGAUUAGGGCCUAAGGGAAUAAACAAUUCCGGCGUGUCUCCCCGGUGGCCAACCGCCUACAUUAUUUUGAGCUUCCAAUGGCGCGCUCUCCUCCUCCGCUAAGGCCUGCCCUCCCAUUUUUUGUAGGUACACUAAUACUAUACACCACUCUGCCAAUCCCAAGAGAAGGACAAAGCACAAUGGGGCUAGGUCAUCCGGGCGCAAUUAUACACAACUUUCUCUCGUGUUUUUAGUUUAGUUGCUAUCGUGACUGCUUGCCCGUGUGAUGAUUUAUUUUGUGAUUAGUUGGGAUGCGUUGCAGCGCGACUCGCCAGCACAGUCCAGUUGAUAAACCCGGGGAUAAUACAUAUACAAACAUUUCAUACAUCACCUGGCCAGAAGUGGAGCUGUCGUUUGUGUUAUUUUCAGCUCCUUUCUUUUCCUCCGGAGACAAUAUGUGAUGGGAAAUUAAUUUAGAACUUUUUGCUUGGGAUCAGAGACAACUUUGAUAAAUUAGCAAGGGAAAAUAUAAGCACAAGUGUAUGUACAUUUAUAUUCGUGCACAUCAGCAGGCAUGUAUGUCCAAUCAUAUGAGAAAAACAAUCUAGCAGUGGGCUAAUAUACCAAUCUAUGCCACUUAACUAUGUUUUGAAAAGGAAGCCCCAACAUGUACCCUAAUCUGUACCGGCUGCUCUAAACUAAGUGGCACCUGCAGGAAAGAUUGGAACAGAGCAACAGAACUUCUGCGACCCUGCUCUGGCAUCUGCAUCAUGUAGGGUUAAGGAGCUUAUUAUCCUAACCAAGAGUCCAAACUCUUUUGCCUUCCACUGACCACUGGAGGUUUGCUGAGAUUAGGCCGGCCUAUGCCAAUACAGUAAUGCACCUUCACUAGCUAGGUGGUGAUAACCCAUGCUUAUCACUAAAUUGCAUGCAACAUGACUAAAUCGUGUAGGUAGGUAAGCAGUGGUAACAAACUAGGAACAACCAACGAAAGCACAAAGGGCAAGGAGCACUUGAAUCCCAACGUGUCCAGAACCUACAAAGACAUAGAGAUUCCCAACGUGGUGGACCAGCCAACAUCAUCCGUCUCACAAACAAAUGCAAUUUGGGGAAAGAACACAAGAGGUAAAUAUUCUGUGCAGCAUUUGAUUCCUCAGUGCAUCAGACAUUCCCACGAGCAUCUCUCGUGUGCAUGUUGCCAAUUUCUCCUCUGUGCGUAAGCUUGGCCUCUAAAUGGAAGAGGUGUAAAACGCCCAGGAAAAAAUCAGUUAACCAAACCAAUACUAGACCUAGCAGAUAAAGCGGGCAAGAAGCAUACUACGCACCCUUGAUCCUUUUCCCUCGCUCUAAACCUGUGUCUGUUCUUUACCUUGGAGGAAAAUUACUUCUCCUCCCUAAAUUACUUUUCUGAAUUUUCUCGAUUUGAAUAUAUUACUCAAAAGCCGCCGAGGCAGCCAGCACAGAAUUACAAAGGCACGGCGCAGCGUGCGGAGAGGUAGGAACGACACGAGUAGACGUCCUCCUUGUCACAUGUUGCCAUGAGACGAUGUGACCAGAGGUCUAGGUCAGAGAUAAGAGCUCGGAGGGUUAUUACAGAAUGUUGAUCAAUGUUUCUAAAUAGCAUGUCAUUGCGCGCAGCCCAAAUCUUCUAGAGCAGAGACAUGAGAAUAAAGGGCCAAGCCUUGUGUGGCAGGUGGUGAGGUAGCGGGACGUCCCAAAGGUCGAUGAUGCCCUCCACCUGUGGUAGGAUGCCCAGUCGUUGCCAGACUCGGUUGGCAAGGGGGCAGGUGAGGAAGAGGUGCGUGAAGUCCUCGGGUAGCGUAGCACAUCGAGGACAAGAGUCCGUGGAGAUGAUCUGCUUGUGGGCAAGGUUGACCCUGGUGUUGAGACGAUCCUUGAAGAGAAGCCAGGCGAAAAUUUUGAUCUUGUGUGGCACCCUGGAGUGCCAAAUGAGGGGGGCGAGGAGAUCGCAGUCCGGACGUGCCAUGAGCGUGCCGUACACAUGCUUGGUGGAGAAGGCAAGACCCCGUAGAAGGAACCUUUGGUCUUCCUCAGCCGAGGGGACGAAAUCCUGCAAAACAGCCAACAACGCAACAAGUUCUUGCUCUGCCAGGAGGGAGAGACGGUUACGGAGGUUAGCUUCUAAACCGUAUGCAGCACAUUAGCCACCUUAACCACCUUAAGCCGUAUGUUUGUUAGGACAAAGGAGAUAGACUGUAGAGUGGGUAUUUGCUGUGCAAUGGUACGACAAAGGAAUGAGUUUUGGGGUGGGGGUGUGACCAAAGCAUUUGGAUGUUGAAGAUCCAGCCAAUCCAGCCAGGGAGUGGAGGAAGAAGUGAGGGUCUUGGCUGCAAAUUUCAUGAGCAGGCAAUUAUUCUGAAGAAGCAAGUUUUUAAGCCCUAAACCACCAUAUUUUUUGGGAAUGCAAACGUUUUUCCAUGCAAUAAGGCAUUGAGCACCCGAAACUAAAUCCUCCCCUGCCCAGAAGAAAGCUCUACGAAUGGAGUCUAGGGUUCUUAGAAGUUUUUUGGGGAAGCGGAAGACAGACAUGAAGUAGGUGAGUAGGGAGUCAAGGACUGCGGAGAUGAGAACGAGGUGAUCGCCUUUGUCAAGUAGCUUAGCGCGCCAGCCGGCCAGUAGCUUGCGUGAGCGUUCUAGGAUGGGAUCGAAGGCGUUGGAGGGAGGUUUAGUAGGGGAGAGGGGGAGGCCUAGAUAGGUUUGGGGAAAGGAGGCGCGUGAGCAGCCCAUGGCGAGAAUUUUCUCGAUUGUAUUUUGGCUAGGUCAUUCUCCUAAACUCUGGUAUGCCAGAGCACUUUACACCUAGCGGUUUCAUUACCCCGCCUUUGUACCAACCAAGGAUGCAUACAUCUAUAUCGCUACACAUUCGAUAAAAUUAGCAAAAAUGAGAAAACAUGUUGUGGCGGGUGUUAAACACAAUACAAGCCAAAGCUGGGACCCCGACACUGGAGACUACCAGGAAAUCCUCCAAACGCAUCAACUACGCAGGUAUAGGACUUGCAAUGUCAUCGCCGGAGUCGACCAAUGAGGCCAAUUUUUGGAAUUUCAUUCGGGUAAAGCAUGUAUCGAUGUCUCAUAGCAAUACCUUCAAGGAAGAAACACUGCAUAACAUUGUCGUAGCUGGGUCCGGAUAAUCAUACCCUGGUUUUCACCUUGGAUAGUUGAUUACCGUCACGGCCACUCCACAGAUCCACCUAACGGACCAUACAGAAUUGUUAGAACCUUCUAUACACGAUAUUGUGCCUCUAGGACCUUUUAGGAUGUCGUUCAUCCACUCACUUCGGCAAGACAUUGUCAGAAAAACUACAUCCCCGCAUGCAAGAAGAAUUAAAACCCUAAUCAUCCUUGUCGCAUAGGAGGUGUGGUUUCAAAAGGAAUAUAUGUGUUUCAAAUUAAGUUCUUUAUCGAGAAGCAUGUUAUCCAGGCAAUCAUGCAAUAUAACUGUGACGCCUUGCAGGUGCCAAGCAUCUGGUUUCCCAGUUUAGGAAUCAUAUUUAAUUAUGGGCAUGACUAGCUCUCAUCUAGAUGUGAAUUAACUAACUCUCAUCGAACUCCUACACCAUCUGAUUUGACGUGGAGAUUCGUGAGGAUUUUUUUCCUUCUCUUUUUUUGUUUGGUUGACAAAAUGAUGUAUGGGUUAGAUGAGACCAUGUUAAUUCUCACGCGAAAUAGCAAAUCUGAUUAAUUAUUGUAAUACUUUUCUUUUCUUUUUUCAGUUUUCCUUUCUUUCUUUCUUUCUUUCUUUCCUUUCAGUUUCCUUUCUUUCUAAGGAUGAACACAUAGUUUAAAGUCAUUUACCAGCUGGUUUGCACUUCGCUUUUAGAAAGUGCAGAAAAGGACAUGCAAGCUUGCACUUUGCUCACAGUUCGAAUUCAGAAACUCUAGAUGAUCAAUUUUCCUUUAUGUCAAAGUUCCCUGGAUAGCUAGCUCAUCUGCAUAUGUAGGUUGUGCUCCAGCUGCUACGUGCCUAGUUGGAUCCCUUUACAAGUUUCAAAAAGAAACAGUUGGAUCUCUUUUCAUGUUUGUUUCCUUCCGUGUCACGUCAUAUCGUCUCGCGCAUAUAGGAGCCGGCGACAAACAGUUGAACGGGAGUGGACAGGUGUAGUAGGUCUGGUACUUGCACCCUGAGGCUUUUGUUUUCUUGCUUCAUGCCUAUUUGGUCCCACGAUGACCACUAAUGCAGACUCUUUCCCCUUCUUUUGCCAAUGUAUAUUUUGCCCUCCCUUGUCCUAGGGACUAGUGUUGAUCUGUCGACUUCAGAGAAACAUGAUGCGAAGCAAAGUUUUAUUCCUAGUCGCUUCUUUUGUCCAGCUUGCAAACAUGUCGCGGGGAAUUUCUUUCUCACAAAAUAAAACUGGUAAGGAAAAAAAAAUGGAGCCACACAAUUACGAAACUCCUUUCCCGCUCGCGAAACUGAGGCGACUAAGGUGAAGAGCACAUUCCCUCAAUCUCCGACGCCAAGCCCGUGGGUUCUCCUCCCAUUUGCCUGGUGCUUUGGUGACCGGUGGUGGCAGGAGAGGUGAAUCCCAGUGUCUCGGCAUCGGCUAAUAGGUAGGGUAGGGUUAGAUCCUCGCAAAGGCGGAGCUCGGUUGAUGGCGGUGCACCAUCCUUGAUACGGUCUUCUAGUCUUUGAUCCACCUUGAACUCAUCUGUUGGGACGGAGACGACGAAAUUCCAAUGUAGAUUCAUGCCGUUCCCUCGGGGCGGCGAUGUAGGGUUUCUUGCCGUGCGUUUGCACUGGUGAGAUCAACUGUCGAGGUUUUGGUGGCGGCGACUGUGGCUCUGGGGACAUGCUCGAAGACUUUCCGGCUAUCACCGACAAAACCGAUGCGUCGUCGACUCGGCAUGGCAGCAGUAGUGGUCAUUCACGCUUAAUGUAUCCGGGUCCUUUUCGGAAAGAAAGAAAAAGGAUGCAUGGUGUUCUUAUCUUGGUGCAAGUGUUUAUGAGAUUAUAUAUUAUGAAUCCAUGGCACCAACAUUUCAUCCCGCGUCCAUGUGGUAUGUUUUCACGGAAGCUCAAUCAGGUAGUAAUAAUUAAGCUGGACAGCCGCAAAGUGGGUUUCGAUUGGAAACGAGUUAAAGGUAGUAAGUACGGCCCGAGGCUGCACGCUGCCUUGCGGCCGGAAUCAGAAGCAAGAGCGGAAUCAAGUUAAGCUCGAGCUUCCAGGAGGGCUAUCACAAACAGUGGUGAAACUCCGAUGAGGCCCCAGUCGGACGGACGGACGGACGGACGGACGUGUACGGGUCCUCUCCGGUCUAGAGUAGAAUGAACCGACGAAGCAUGCAUGCAGAAGGGGACAAGGCGGCCCUGAAACCUUUGAAGGCCGCUGCCUCCCCUCCGGGACGCCGCGCGUGCUAGCUACCUCGAUCAUUCCUUUUACCAUCAUCCCAUCCAAUCGGCUGGCAAAUCAAUCCUUUACCAACGUGACUGUCAUGCGAUUGAUCUCCCUUGCAAUAAUGCUGCCUUUUUAGAGUCUACCGCGCACGUACCCUCGCCUUUCCUUUCAGUCCAUCCCUGCCUACCAUGCAGCAGCUCCAGGCUCUGCAUGCAGCCACUGUCUACCAUGAAGCAGCUCCAGGCUCCUUUCAGUCGAUCUCUGCCUACCAUGCACCCAUGCAGACAUGGAUGCCUUUAAUUUACACACGUCGCGGGCGGAGCUGCAUGUGGAUGUUCGCCGUGGGUCAUCGCCAAGCCUCCGUAACACUGCGAGAUGAUGAGCAUCGCAUGGAAGCAAUCAGGGCGGGGGGUCUAAAAGAAAUGGGGUCGGCCGACCUGCACACCAUGGUUUAGUUUAGUUAGGACACGUUUAGUAACUUGUGCUGGCUGUGCCGAUUGAUCCAGCUACCGGCCAGGAAACCGAGAGAAGUGGGGGCAAAUUAGAAAACUAUUACGACUGAAAAAGUUGUCUCGGGAGGUUUGGCGUACGUACGUCGCCUGUGCGGAUCGUGGAGAGCAAGGGGAGGACAUGUUCCAAGUAUUCCUGGGGAUGCGAGCAAGCAGAUGGCGCUGCGGUGCGGUGGGUCUCGUUGCUCGCCUACUCCCCCACAAGUCCCAUGAACUCGCUCGUCCAUGGACCCGACAUGUGCCCGGUAUCAGAACAUCCAUCGUACAUUCGUACUACUUACUACCAAAGUACUAAGUAUCAAUAGGAUUGGUGCCUAUGUCAGGCUCGAGUGGAAAGUACAACAGCAGCUAGCUACUGCACUACAGCUUCAGUUUGCUUUUCUCCAUUAGUUUUUGAGGAAUCAGCCAGCCUCGAGCUAUGUUUUAGCUAAAUGCUACUCUCUUGGUCUCAUAAUAUAAAAACGUUUUUGACACUAGUGUAGUGUAAAAAACGAUCUUAUAUUAUGGGAGAGAGAGAGUACCAUAUAUUGAUCUGAUGUUCCGAGGAAGUGAUUUUCCUAGGGAACACUUCGUAGGACGUCCAUUUCUCAUGUGCGAAUCUCAAAGCGAUCGAUGUGGCAAAUCCAUGUUUGCUCCCAUGUCUGAGUGAACGACUGAGCGGACGACACUUAAUGUUCGCUCCCCAUGGCAAUCUCAGCGCACGACGUGACCCCUGUCUUAUCCCUCAAUCUUCCCCUCAAAUUAAAUCACGUCCGGAUAGCAAAUUCCGUAUCUAGAGCAUGGCAUUAUCCUACAGUUCCCUCUGAUGUAGCAUUGAAAUCCCCUUCUGGCAGCAUGGCCAUUUCUAAGAGUCGGGCAAAUUUCUUUUCAUAUAGCAUGGCAAUUCUCUGAUGUGAGCAUUGCAAGUCUACCUAGUGUAGCAUCACAAUUCAUGAAUAUGUGUGGAAAUGUUUUUCUUUUUUCUAAACCUGACAAUUCUCUAUGUCGCAUCACAGCAAAUCCCUGGAAAGCAUAGCAAUUUACUCUGAUGCGGCAUGACUGUUUUCUGACAAUCCUUCUGCUAGCAUGACAAAUCUUUCUUUUCGACACAUGUCAAAUCUUUCUGUAUAGCAUUGUGCUUUGAGGGAACACUCUCUGAUGGUGCCGUUCGCUCAAACCAGCAUCUUGUAGAGAAUGUUUGUAUCCCCUAAUCUUCCCCUCAACCUCACGAAGGAAUGUCAGCGCGUUAUUGGGUCCAUGUUUUAUCAUAAAGGUAAUUUGUGCACUCCACCUUUUGAGUUUAGUAUACUCCCUCUAGUUAUGGGUUGCUGCAUGCAGAAUGCUCGCUGGCACGCGUCUCUCUCGCUAGUCGGCAUGCACCCUCUCUUUUGUACUUCUCACUUGGCUAUAUAUAUUAUCCAAGAAGAAGAAAACAUGUAGGAGUAAAAUAUAUACUACUGACACUCGUUUUCAUACAUGGCUCAUCAGAGUAUUGGCUGCCUCCAAUCAUGAGAGCAGUCAAGAAGGCUUCACUUCACGCCUCCCAUUUCUUAUGGCAUCCACCCAAACACACCCUUGACCGGACUUAACUGGCUUGGAGUCUAUUUACUAUUUCCACUGGCAAAAAAAAAAUGGUUGAUCGACUCACUUGCAACUAAGACAGCAAAAUUCUUUCCGUGUUAGUCCCUUCAUUCCUAAAUAUAAGUCUUUUUAGAGAUUACAAUACAGACUACAUACAAAACAGAAUGAGUGAAUCUACACUCUAAAAUAUGUUUAUAUACAUUUGUAUGUAGUUUGUAUUGAAAUCUUUAUAAAGACUUAUAUUUGAAAACGGAUGGAGUAGAUGAUGAUAUCGCCACCAUGCAGCCGAUGAUGGACUGACCGCUGCUAGCUUCGCCGCGUACGUUUCAUUGCCUGCCAGGAAAUGCGCUGGCUAGCUUGCUAGAACGCACACGGCCUGAAUUCCCUGAAAAUAUUCCUCACACGCACGCACGAACGGCCGAUGCGAUGCAGCGAACUGCAGGCUACCUUGCGAAUGAUGCAACCCAUGUGUGUGCUGGUCAAAAGAUUGUUAGACAGCGACUGAUCGGCAUCCUCAUUAACUACUGGGUAUAGUGCCCCCGUUGCUAGCUAAGCUACGUGGCUGAUGCAAAAAAUGGGUAGCUGUUGAACAAGGUGUGAUGUGUAGUGGCGGUGGUAAUUCUGCAGUGUCUCCGUUUUGGCGUACGUGGUGGCUGACAGAGACUGAAAGAUCAUAUGCGGGUUUGCUCUGACCAAAACGCAUGCAUAUGCAGUAUGCUGGACUUCCUUGGCACAGCAUGAUCUCAUCUUGGUAACACUCUCAACUCUGGUUAUUAAUUUCGGCCGUCACGUACUUAAGGCAGCCAGCCAAGAGAUUAGCUAGAGAUGAUGAUCGUCGUCGGGCACGAGUGGAGAGCAUGUUCUGCAGCAGGAAGUACUUGUGGCUGGUCAAACAAAUGCAGAAUUAGAAGCGGCUGAUCCAAAAGAAAGGGUAAUUAACUAUGUUAACUAUAGUAAUAUAAUGGGGGUUUAAGGUGGCGUCACGGCUCACAUGGCGUGCAUGCAUGAGAGCAAGCUAGGCGCCAAACGGGUUGGGUGGGCGGUCAAAUUUGGCCGUGUCCGUCCGUGGAACGACGAAGUAAUUAACCAAUGGAACCGUCGGUCGGUGGCCCAAAACAAAAAUAUGCCGCAAACACCAUGAUGGCCAAGCUUACAAGCAAUACCUUCCCACAGGGCCGGGCUAAAAUUCGCAUCGCGUCGCACGGUCCUUGUAGCUAGCUAGUUAGGGUUCAUCUGGUUUCUCAAAAAAAAAAGAGUUAGGGUUCAUCUUCCCUUUGUUUAUGGGUUCCAUACAUAACUAGUUAGGGUUCGUCUUCCGUUUGUUUAUGGGUUCAACACAUAACGCGGCCAGCCAUCGCGUACGUGCGUUGCAACUAAUAUAGAUCGUUGCACGAUCUAAUCAUAGGUAGCUUAAUUGACGAUUGUUAUAAAUUGCUCUACGUGAUCCAAGGACCGAUCCAGGGUGUACACAUUAUUGAUGCAGCGUAUGUAAACAUAGAUUGUUCUCCUUAUUCUUGUGCGCGUACGUGUGCGCAUUUUUAAUCCGCUUGCGAUAUGUUAAAGUACUGUAGUUGUAGUUGGUCGUUGUUCCUCAGCUCGUUCCUGAAUCUCUCGAGUGUACAGUUCGACAUGGAAAACAGGCUGCCUUGAUGAGUGAAGCCGAGGUAUACAUAAUGGCUAGGAGACCCCGCAUCCUCCCGACCCGCAAAACGUUUUUGCAGUUCGCGGAAAAACGUCUUUACGGGCCGGCGCGGACGACCGCAGUUGCAGACCCCGCAUAAUGGACUCGUAAAAAAAGAUAUUUCCAGAAUAUGCUUUUUUACGGGUUGGGGUUGCGGCGUCUGAUCUGGCGCAUCUCCUUCCGGCCCGCAAAACUUAAAUUUGCAACUCAAUUUGAUCUAGCAUAUUGCAUUGCUUUGUUUUAUAACAACAUUGGAUACAAAAGGUAUCACCAAAUCUUUGCUAGAAUAGCAAGACCAAAGAAAACAAGAACUACAAGAAUGCAUUUUAGAAGAUUUCCAAUUUUCAUAACUGCUUCCAGUAGUUGGACUGAUAUCUUCUCCAUGCAUUCGUUGUUGAUCUGUGGAUUUUUGAUUUUGCAUUCUUCUUUCUUCAUCUUUGGUUCGGAAGAAGUAGAUGUUGCUUCCCCUUUAGUUGCACAUGCAGACGCAUCAUUGCCUUCGAUUGUACCAAGGAGUGCACUAACAUCUAUUAAAUUUCUUUCUAUCAUCAAAUCAAUGUAUUGCCCUUCCCAAAACCAAAAUGGGCAUCCUUCGUCCUACACAAAAGAAUGAGCAAGCUCGAAGUGAGCCAUCGCAAUUUAGUUAAAGAAUGAACUGUGAAACGAGCUACCGCAAGUGCACAUACCUCGUCGUUUUCGCAUUUGAAGAAUACCCAUCCGGGGUGCUUCGGCGUGCUCGAAGUGAGCCGCAGCACUUUCCGCGUGCAGUCGUCGCACUCUAUGAGCGGCAUCGGCAAGCCACAAAGACGCUGCGCGAGCGCCGAGCCCGGUGGACAGCCGGACGAGUCCAUGCCCGCAAACCUUCGGCGACGGCGGGCGGACGAACUCGCACCUGAAUGCGGCGAUGUGCCCUUGCCUGGGCUGCGGAGAGGCUCCCCGACCACUCCAUAGCUUGGGGCAGCAACCGGCGGCCGGAAAAAAGCCAAAUCCGGCGGCCCGCCGACGCAGGGGGGAGGCCUCGUGCGCCUGGCGGCCUUCCGGCGUGCUCCUGCCGGCUGCGGUCGCCGGAAUCUUGGGCGGCGGCCGGCGGCGGCGCGAGAGGGGAGAGGAGAGGUGGUUGGUGGGAGAAAGCGCGGGAUGAAAUGUCCCCCCACCAACCGCUUUCGCUUAUAUGCAGGACACCGCAGCCGCGAGGGGUAAAUCCGCGUUUUUACGGAUUGGGCUCGGGAUUUUGCCGCGCCCCCUAAAUUUUUUUGCGGACCGGGGCGGGAUGCGGGUCUGAUCGGGCGGGUUUUUCCGCCCCGGCCCGCAUUUUGGCGGUUAUUUUACCGGUCAGGGCGGGAUACGGGGUCUGCUAGAGUUGCUUUAAGUGUUGUCUAAUUUAUGCCAGUUCCGUCCGUUCGUGGCACAGUGCACGGACGGCGCCGGACAAAAUUUUGGUCUUCAGGGACUUGCGUGACCACGUCGUUUCUGCGUGCCGUUUGCGUCGCCGCGAAAAGAUGAGAUCGAAUGGGAAGCCCACAGUAUGUUUGUUUCAUUGUUUGUCAUCAACUGCCUCUGUCGUAUCCAGUGUUCUCCAUCAGGCAAUCGAGUCCGUAGUAAGUUCAGUCCAGCCUUGAAAACUCUAGUUGAUCUUUCUUAGCACCUGCAGUCUCCUCUACGCUUGUACCAGUGCAGGACAAGCUCAAUUUUUUUGAUAAAGGGCAAUUUUAUUAUCCUAAAAUAUAGCAUCAAAUGAAUAUAUAACAUUAUGAGUAACAUCCGGCAUCUGCAUAAUUAGGAUGCACACUACACUAGGAUACAGGACAAGCUCAUGCCCACUGCCUAAAAUGGAACGCUUCCGUCGUCCUCGGAUCGAUCGCUCAAGCUUGAAAGAUUUGAACAUUUCAGGUCUUGAAGAGAAGGGUCACUGUCCUUAACUAGUACUAGCAAAAUAUUUAGCUUUGUCGGUGUGGUUGUGCAUAUACUUUAACAUGACACGACACAACAUUGACGUGGAUCCAGCUUGUUGUGGUAGCCAUAGUAUUCGUUUUGGACACAUUCUCAGGACCGGUCAAACCUCCGCUUGUCAUGAACUAUCUAUAUACAUGACGACGUGACUUCGAACCAACAUAUUUAUAUGGUAAGAUGUAGCUUUUUUCAAAGAAGGAGGGAGAGAGUGCUUCCCUCAACAACAAAAAAAGAAGGAGAGAGAGAGUGCAACGGCGGGUAGAAUGGCAGGCUGAACUUUUUUAUGAAUUUUUGACAAAGCAGCAAAGUUAUUUACAAAGGACUCGGUGAGAUUAAGCUAAAGAAAAAGGAAAAUUACGGCCGGUAUAGCAUGACACCCCAGUCGAAUAGGAUUUGCCGCUGGUUCGUAUGGAUGGGCUUAGGCAUGGCUCUCUCCGACGAGGUGGCAGUCGGCGGUGGUGUUGGUCCUAUGGUGGCCACUCCGGCCUACAGGCAGCCUCAUUGUGAAGUGUCGCGGCAUUCGUGAGGGUUUCUCUCUCCAGAUCCAGUGAAUGCCUUCGGCAUCGAGAUGCAAUCUACGGAGGAUGACUUGACACGGAGAGUGUGGUUGUGCAGUUGCGGCGGUCGGUUUUCUAGCCCGGCGCAUGCAGCAUCUGGGAUCGCGGAAAAAUGAUGGCGACAACACAUGAUUAACUUCGAGGAGCUUCAUGGUGAAAACCUUCUGACCCGAGUUGGUUAUACCUGGUAAUGGUGAUGUUUUUGCGUCGUUGUUGAGGCAUUGCUCGAAUAUGCUCGGGCUGGUUUCUCUGGGUGAAAACCUAGAAUCUGACCUUUGGUGGUUGGUCUGAUGAUGGUGGCGCUUGAGUGUUGCUCCAUUCUUGAAGGCUUUCUUGUUGAAGGACUUCGUUGUCCUUGUGGUGUCAUGAGACGGUCGGUACGAAUAUGAUCAUAGUUGUAUUUUGUCGAUCGCUGGCUUGAUCGAUUUGGGUUUAUUUUCUUUUUUCUGGCUUAGGCAUAGCUCUGAUAUUAUGUAUGACUUUGCUUUUUGCCAGUGCUGUUGUGUGUCUUUGUUGAUGAUGACUUUGUGCAUUCUAAUUAUGCAGAGACCGGUGUGUGCUCAAUGUGUAUGUAUUCACUUGAUGCUCAAUUUUGAGUCAAUAAAACUCACGCUUUAUCAAAAAGGAUAUUUUUAUGUACUCAUAAUGUGGUAUCAAGAAGAUACAAAGCAUUAUUGCGUAUGUUUGAGCAAAGCAAAAUGCUCUAAGCGGCCUGGUUCUCAAAUUUCAGAAGACGUAAAGUGCAUGCCCUAACGAUCGAUCGAUGGAGCGGAGCCUCUCUCUCUCUCUCUCUCCCUCCGGUCAAUCGGUUUGAGUGUUGGGUCACUCUCCUCAUCACGUACCUAGCUAGCUAGCUAGCUAGUGAGGUAGCCAUUUUAGGUCCCGUGUCACUGUCCAGGCAAGCACGCAACACUGAGCUAUGCUAGGGAAUCUAGAACGAUCCAUGGAUCGCACAUGUGGCGGCCACGAUUGAUAUAUAGCUCGAGUUCGACGACGGAGAUGGAGACGGAGGCAAGGAACGUAAACUAGGCUCGGUCGAUCAGGGUCAGGGAGAGACAGGGGGAGGCCACCGUGUCCGGCAGUCGUGGGACACGACGCAAUCACGUCGCUCUCCGCCGCGGCGAGGCCUAAACUAAUCCGGCGUGGAGGGCGCUGUAGCUCGACGCGCAGGCAGAUCGUCCAAACUUCAUAAAUUAAAAGGUUUUAUGCAAGUUCUUUUAAAGAAAAAAGGACGGGUGAUGCAGCCAUGGAAGCAAGGUGACAAGGACUUGUUCAGUUUGGACGGAGGCUCUGGCGGAAGACUCCAUUGAUAUGAUCCCGAUUUUCUUUUCCAGUUAAGAGAUUUCAUUUUCAUGAUGAAAUCGACAUGAAAACGGCAUCCGUGGGUCUUUGUGUUCCUUUGAUAGUACGAGUACGUGGCAAACAAACGAAGUGUAGGAAAUAGAAAUGAAAAUAGAGCAUUUGGUUCAGUUCGCCGGUGUGAAAUUGAUGUUUGGCUGUAUUAGGGGGGCCAGGGACUUGACCGGUCUUCUUGGACGAUGCGUGAAUCUGUUCUCCUUUGGUGACCGACCGAUGCAACGACGGAUAAAGUCGCUGUGUUUUUGCCGUGAAACACUGGAGAAUGCGGCGUACGCCACCGCCGUUCGUGUCCGUCUCCCCGUUUCACGGUUCGUCACGUAUGGCAUCCGCUCCACAGCCGGGCGGCGCAGAGUCCAUUCUAGGGUGAACGUUGCGUGAUAGUGGACGGAGCAAGGACGGCGGGCUUCACUACCACUAAGAGCAACUUCAAUGGGGCGACCUAUUUCGUCCGCCCGCGUCUGUUUAAGUCGGCGCGGACAAAAAUGGCGGCCCAACGCGCCGACCCAAACGGACGCGCGUCCGUUUUUCGUCCGUGGCGGACACGAGACGGACGCGUGCGCGCGUCUACUCCUCUCCCCGGGCCCGCCGGUCGGUGGCAGCCACCACCAUUUUCCCUCAUUUUCCUCAAAAACGCUCCUGUCCGCGCGCGCCCCCGCCCCCCAACCAGCCAUGGAGGACGCCAUCGACCUCGACCUCGCCGCCGCCGCCGGCCUCGCCUCCCUCGCCUCGUCCGGCGCCGUCGCCCCCUCCAGGAAAGGCAAGCCUCGUGCCCCGCGCAAGACCGCCGCCGCAAUCAAGCCGAAGAAGGCGCUGACGCCCGAACAGCGGGCAAGGGAGUCGGCCAAGAGGAAGGGCCGGAGGCACGCCGCGGACGCGAGGGAUGAGGCCGCCGCGCAGGCCGCCGCCGUCGCCGCCGCGCAGCAGAAGUUCACCAACGCCCGUGUCGCCGCGGCAACGAGGGAGGCGCUCUACAUGCUAGGGGUAAACCCUAGCCAGCACAGCGUCCUCCAAGCCGCCGUCGCCGUGGCCAGCACCGACUCGUCGGUGUUUCCUCGGAUGGUGAUGCCCGACUCACCCCGCGCGUCGGCUUGCAACCCGGUCCCCGGCUUUCACGUCUACCCGCAGGCCUCCCGCCUCUCCGGGGAGUGCUCACCCGACGUGAGCGUGGUCGCGCCUUCCACGCCCGCGCCCGCGCCCAUCGACCUCAACGCCACCCCGGUGGUCGGUGGCUCGUCGUCCGGCGGCACGAGGAAACGCGCGCGACAGCCACCGGCCGACGGGCUCCCGGACGCCCGUAACCUGUUCGAGGAAAUGCUGUCCGCCGUCGACGAGGACUACAUGCAAAACCUCAUCUUCGAGGGUGGUGCGCCGGGCGCUGGCUGCGAUCCCGACGAGACACAAAGCCAGGACGACCGCGGGGCGUUCAUGCCGGCCGCUGGCUAGAUCCCGAUCAGGCGGCCUUCAUGCGUGAUCAGGUCGGCAUCGACCUGGACGGCUUCCCCCUCGACCACGAGUUCCCGGACGACUAUGGGCUAGAGGAAGAGGACGAGUGGGACAUCGAAGUGGAGCCUUUGUUCGAGGACGAGCUCGCCAACCAAGCCGCCGGUCCUAAGCCGAAGCGCAAGAGCAAGCGCAUGAAGGCGUACAUAGCUGCCGAGGACAAGCUUCUUUGUGCGUGUUGGCGAGACAUUGGACAAGACCCAAAGACGGGCGCCGAGCAAAAGCAUUCGACCUUUUGGACUCGUGUGCACCGCGAGUUUCAUGAGCGCAAGAAGUUUCCACCUUACCAAUUUGUGAGCACGCGCGGGUGGGUCUCCAUUUCCAAGCGGUGGAGGGUGAUCCAACAAGAGUGCAACAAUUUUUGCGCCACCCUUGAGAGUGUCAAGGCCCGCCCCGUGAGCGGCAUCGGCAUACAAGACAUGGUAUGAUAGCAAGCAAGCCGCCCUCUUUUGUGCCAUCAAGAUCAUCCUUUUACGUCUUCAUUUGCUAUCACUUGCCCAUAUGCUUGCAUUAGUCCCGGUUCAUGACUGAACCGGAACUAAUGUGAAUACUGCCCUGUGACCAAAGCCCUGUUUUCUACUAGUGAACCUAUCUAGGCCUCCCCCUCUCCCCUACUAAACCUCCCUCCCAUGCCUUCGAUCCCAUCCUAGAACGCUCACGCAAGCUACUGGCCGGCUGGCGCGCUAAGCUACUUGACAAAGGCGAUCGCGUCGUUCUCAUCUCCGCAGUCCUUGACUCCCUACUCACCUACUUCAUGUCUGUCUUCCGCUUCCCCAAAAAACUUUUAAGAACCCUAGACUCCAUUCGUAGAGCUUUCUUCUGGGCAGGGGAGGAUUUAGUUUCGGGUGCUCAAUGCCUUAUUGCAUGGAAAAAUGUUUGCAUUCCCAAAAAAUAUGGUGGUUUAGGGCUUAAAAACUUGCUUCUUCAGAAUAAUUGCCUGCUCAUGAAAUUUGCAGCCAAGACCCUCACUUCUUCCUCCACUCCCUGGCUGGAUUGGCUGGAUCUUCAACAUCCAAAUGCUUUGGUCACACCCCCACCCCAAAACUCAUUCCUUUGUCGUACCAUUGCACAACAAAUACCCACUCUACAGUCUAUCUCCUUCGUCCUAACAAACAGUGGGACGCAUACUUACUUCUGGCACGACACUUGGCUCACCCCAACACCUCUAGCUCGCACCUUCCCUCACCUAUACUCACACUCCACUCUCCAGCUGGUUAAGGUGGCUAACGUGCUGCAUACGGUUUAGAAGCUAACCUUCGUAACCGUCUCUCCCUCCUGGCAGAGCAAGAACUUGUUGCGUUGUUGGCUGUUUUGCAGGAUUUCGUCCCCUCGGCUGAGGAAGACCAAAGGUUCCUUCUACGGGGUCUUGCCUUCUCCACCAAAGGGUUUACUAGAGUCAAUAAUUUAGUUCACAUCGCCAUGUGAUUAAGACCCAAGGAGUACUAAGGUGUGAUCAUGUUUUGCUUUUGAGAGAAGCUUAGUCAACGGGUCUGCCACAUUCAGGGACGUAUGUAUUUUGCAAAUUUUCUAUGUCUACAAUGUUGUGUACGGAGCUACUCUAGCUAAUUGCUCCCACUUUCAAUAUGUAUCCAGAUUGAGACUCAGAGUCAUCCGGAUCGGUGUAAAAGCUUGCAUCGGCGUAACUCUUUACGACAAACUCUUUGUCACCUCCAUAACCGAGAAAUAUCUCCUUAUUCCACUAAGGAUAAUUUUGACCGCUGUCCAGUGAUCCACUCUUGGAUCACUAUUGUACCCUCUUGCCAAACUCAUGGUGAGGUACACAAUAGGUCUGGUACACAGCAUAGCAUACUUCAUAGAACCUAUGACUGAGGCAUAGGGAAUGACUUUCAUUCUUUUUCUAUUUUCUGUCGUGGUCGGGUUUUGAGUCUUUACUCAACUUCACACCUUGCAACACAGGCAAGAGCUCCUUCUUUUGACUGUUCCAUUUUAAACUACUCCAAAAUCUUGUCAAGGUAUAUACUCAUUGAAAAAACUUAUCAAGCGUCUUGAUCUAUCUCUAGAGAUCUUGGUUCCCAAUAUGUAAGCAGCUUCACCGAGGUCUUUCUUUGAAAAACUCCUUUCAAACACUCCUUUAUGCUUUCCGGAAAAUUCUACAUCAUUUCCGAUCAGCAAUAUGUCAUUCACAUAUACUUGCCCGAAAGGAUGUAGUGCUCCCACUCACUUUCUUGUAAAUACAGGCUUCUCCAAAAGUCUGUAUAAAACUAUAUGCUUUGAUCAACUCAUCAAAGCGUAUAUUCCAACUCUGAGAUGCUUGCACCAGUCCAUAAAUGGAUCGCUGGAGCAUGCACACUUUGUUAGCACCUUUUGGAUCGACAAAACCUUCUUGUUGCAUCAUAUACAACUCUUCUUUAAGAGAUCCAUUAAGGAAUGUAGUUUUGACAUCCAUUUGCCAGUUUUCAUAAUAUGUGGCAAUUGCUAACAUGAUUCGGACAGACUUAAGCAUCGCUACGAGUGAGAAAAUAUCAUCGUAGUCAACACCUUGAACUUGUCGAAAACCUUUUUGCGGCAAUUCGAGCUUUGUAGAUAGUAACACUACCAUCAGUGUCCGUCUUCCUCUUGAAGAUCCAUUUAUUCUCAAUGGCUUGCCGAUCAUCGGGCAAGUCAAUCAAAGUCCAUACUUUGUUCUCAUACAUGGGUCCCAUCUCAGAUUUCAUGGCCUCAAGCCAUUUCGUGGAAUCUGGGCUCAUCAUCGCUUCCUCAUAGUUCGUAGGUUCGUCAUGGUCUAGUAACAUGACUUCCAGAACAGGAUUACCGUACCACUCUGGUGCGGAUCGUACUCUAGUUGACCUACGAGGUUUGGUAGUAACUUGGUCUGAACCUUCAUGAUCAUCAUCAUUAGCUUCCUCACUAAUUGGUGUAGGAAUCACUGGAACUGAUUUCUGUGAUGAACUACUUUCCAAUAAGGGAGCAGGUACAAUUACCUCAUCAAGUUCUACUUUCCUCCCACUCACUUCUUUCGAGAGAAACUCCUUCUCUAGAAAGGAUCCAUUCUAAGCAACGAAUAUCUUGCUUUCGGAUCUGUGAUAGAAGGUGUACCCAACAGUCUCCUUUGGGUAUCCUAUGAAGAUGCAUUUCUCCUAUUUGGGUUUGAGCUUAUCAGGUUGAAGCUUUUUCUCAUAAGCAUCGCAGCCCCAAACUUUAAGAAAUGACAACUUGGGUUUCUUGCCAAACCACAGUUCAUAUCGUGUCGUCUCAACGGAUUUAGAAGGUGCCCUAUUUAACGUGAAUGCAGAUGUCUCUAAUGCAUAACCCCAAAACGAUGGUGAUAAAUCGGUAAGAGACAUCAUAGAUCGCACCAUAUCUAAUAAAGUAUGGUUAUGGCGUUCGGACACACCGUUACGUUGUGAUGUUCUAGGUGGCGUGAGUUGCGAAACUAUUCCACUUUGUUUCAAAUGAAGACCAAACUCGUAACUCAAAUAUUCGUCUCCGCGAUCAGAUCGUAGAAACUUUAUUUUCUUGUUAUGAUGAUUUUCCACUUCACUUUGAAAUUCUUUGAACUUUUCAAAUGUUUCAGACUUAUGUUUCAUCAAGUAGAUAUACCCAUAUCUGCUUAGAUCAUCUGUGAAGGUUAAAAAAACGAUACCCGCCGGGAGCCUCAACACUCAUCGAACCGCAUACAUCAGUAUGUAUUAUUUCCAAUAAGUUAGUUGCUCGCUCCAUUGUUCCGGAGAACGGAGUCUUAGUCAUCUUGCCCAAGAGGCAUGGUUCGCAAGCAUCAAGUGAUUCAUAACCAAGUGAUUCCAAAAGCCCAUCAGCAUGGAGUUUCUUCAUGUGCUUUACACCAAAGUGAACGGUAGUGCCACAAAUAUGUUGCACUAUCAUUAUCAACUUUGCAUUACUACGAUCGAGAUUCAAUAAACCAUUCACCUUGGGUGUAUGACCACAGAAGGUUUUACUCAUGUAAACAGAAUAACAAUUAUUCUUUGAUUUAAAUGAAUAACCGUAUUGCAAUAAACAUGAUCCAAUCAUAUUAUGCUCAACGCAAACACCAAAUAACAUUUAUUUUAGGUUCAACACUAAUCCCGAAUGUAAAGGGAGUGUGCGAUGGUGAUCUUAUCAACCUUGGAAUCACUUCCAACACACAUCGUCACCUUGCCCUCAACUAGUCUUUGUUCAUUUUGUAACUCCUAUUUUGAGUUACUAAUCAUAGCAACUGAACCAGUAUCAAAUACCUAGGGGCUACUAUGAACACUAGUAAAGUACACAUCAAUAACAUGUAUAUCAUAUAUACUUUUGUUCACUUUGCCAUCCUUCUUAUCCGCCAAGUAUUUGGGAUAGUUCCGCUUCCAGUGACCAUUUCCUUUGCAGUAGAAGCAUUCAGUUUCACGCUUGGGUCUAGCUUUGGGCUUCUUCAUGGGAGUGGCAACUUGCUUGCCAUUCUUCUUGAAGUUCCCUUUCUUUCCCUUGCCCUUUUACUUGAAACUAGUGGUCUUGUCAACCAUCAACAUUUGAUACUUUUCUUGAUUCCAACCUUCGUCGAUUUCAGCAUCACGAGGAGCUCGAGAAUUGUUUUUGUCAUCCCUUGCAUAUUAUAGUUCAUCACGUAGUUCCAGUAACUUGGUGAUAGUGACUAGAGAACUCUGUCAAUCACUAUCUUAUCUGGAAGAUUAACUUCCACUUGAUUCAAGCGAUUGUAGUACUUAGACAUUCUGAGCACAUGCUCACUGGUUGAGCUAUUCUCCUCCAUCUUGCAGGCAAAGUACUUGUCAGAUGUUUCAUACCUCUUGACUCGGGCAUGAGUCUGAAAUACCAAUUUCAGCUCUUGGAACAUCUUAUAUGCUCUGUGGCGUUCAAAACAUUUUUGAAGUCCCGGUUCUAAGCCGUAAAGCAUGGCAUACUAAACUAUCAGGUAGUUAUCAUACCGAGCUUGCCAAACAUUCAUAACGUCUGCAUCUGCUCCUGCAAUAGGUCCAUCACCUAGCGGUGCAUCAAGGACAUAAUUCUUCUGUGCAGCAAUGGGGACAAUCCUCAGAUCACGGACCUAGUCCGCAUCAUUGCUACUAUCAUCUUUCAACAUAGUUUUUUCUCUAGGAACAUAUCAAAAAUAAACGGGGAGCUACAUCGCGAGCUAUUGAUCUACAACAUAGUUAUGCAAAUACUAUCACGUACUAAGUUUAUGAUAAAUUAAUGUUCAAUUAAUCAUAUUACUUAAGAACUCCCACUUAGAUAGACAUCCCUCUAAUCAUCUAAGUGAUCACGUGAUCCAUAUCAACUAAACCAUGUCCGAUCAUCACGUGAGAUGGAGUAGUUUUCAAUGGUGAACAUCACUAUGUUGAUCAUAUCUACUAUAUGAUUCACGCUCGACCUUUCGGUCUCAGUGUUCCGAGGCCAUAUCUGCAUAUGCUAGGCUCAUCAAGUUUAACCCGAGUAUUCUGCGUGUGCAAAAUUGGAUUGGACCCGUUGUAUUUGAACAUAGAGCUUAUCACACCCGAUCAUCACGUGGUGUCUCGGCACGAUGAACUUUCGCAACGGUGCAUACUCAAGGAGAACACUUGUACCUUGAAAUUUAGUGAGAGAUCAUCUUAUAAGGCUACUGCCGAACUAAGCAAAAUAAGAGGCAUAAGGGAUAAACAUCACAUGCAAUAAAUAUAAGUUAUAUGAUAUGGCCAUCAUCAUCUUGUGCCUUUGAUCUCCAUCUCCAAAGCACUGUUAUGAUCACCAUCGUCACCGGCGCGACACCGAUCUCCAUCGUAGCAUCGUUGUCGUCUCGCCAACUAUUGCUUCUACGACUAUCGCUACCGCUUAGUGAUAAAGUAAAGCAAUUACAUGGUGAUUGCAUUUCAUACAAUAAAGCGACAACCAUAUGGCUCCUGCCAGUUGCCGAUAACUCUGUUACAAAACAUGAUCAUCUCAUACAAUAAAAUUUAGCAUCAUGUCUUGACCAUAUCACAUCACAACAUGCCCUGCAAAAACAAGUUAGACGUCCUCUACUUUGUUGUUGCAAGUUUUACGUGGCUGCUACGGGCUAAGAAAGAACCGUUCUUACCUACGCAUCAAAACCACAACGAUUUUUCGUCAAGUGUGUUGUUUUAACCUUUAACAAGGACCGGGCAUAGUCACACUCGAUUCAACUAAAGUUGGACAAACUGACACCCGCCAGCCACAUGUGUGCAAAGCACGUCGGUAGAACCAGUCUCGCGUAAGCGUACGCGUAAUGUCGGUCCGGGCCGCUUCAUCCAAAAAUACCGCCGAAUCAAAGUAUGACAUGCUGGUAAGCAGUAUGACUAUUAUCGCCCACAACUCUUUGUGUUCUACUCGUGCAUAUAACAUCUACGCAUAGACCUGGCUUGGAUGCCAUUGUUGGGGAACGUAGUAAUUUCAAAAAAAAAAUCCUACGCACACGCAAGAUCCAUCUAGGUGAUGCAUAGCAACGAGAGGGGAGAGUGUUGUCCACGUACCCUCGUAGACCGAAAGCGGAAGCGUUAUGACAACGCGGUUGAUGUAUUUGUACGUCUUCAUGAUCUGACCGAUCCUAGCACCAAAGGUAUGGCACCUCCGCGAUCUGCACACGUUCAGCUCGAUGACAUCCCACGAACUCUAGAUCCAGCUGAGGUCGAGGGAGAGUUUCGUCAGCACGAAGCCGUGGUGACGGUGAUGAUGAAGUUACCGGCGCAGGGCUUCGCCUAAGCACUGCAACGAUAUGACCGAGGUGGAAAUCUGUGGAGGGGGGCACCGCACACGGCUAAGACAAUUGUCAACUUGUGUGUCCUAGGGUGCCCCCCUGCCCCCGUAUAUAAAGGAGCAAGGGGGAGGCCGGCCGGCCCUCCUGGGGCGCGCCCCAAGUAGGAUUCCUACUAGAAUUCUAUUCCUAGUAGGUUUCCAACAAGGGAAGAGAGGGGGAAGGAAGGAGAGGGAGAGAAGGAGAAGGAAAGUGGGGCGCCCCCCCCCCCUUCCCUAGUCCAAUUCGGACCCAAGGGGGAGGAGGGGCGCGGCCUACCCUAGCCGCCCCUCUCUCUCUCCACUAAGGCCCAUGUGGCCCAUUAGUUCCCCCGGGGGUUCCGGUAACCCUCCGGCACUCCAGUUUUCUGAAACUUCUCCGAAACAUUUCCGGUGUCCGAAUAUAGUCGUCCAAUAUAUCAAUCUUUAUGUUUCGACCAUUUCGAGACUCCUCGUCAUGUCUGUGAUCAUAUCCGGGACUCCGAACUACCUUCGGUACAUCAAAACACAUAAACUCAUAAUACCUAUCGUCAUCGAACAUUAAGCGUGCGGACCCUACGGGUUCGAGAACUAUGUAGACAUGACCGAGACUCAUCUCCAGUCAAUAACCAAUAGCGGAACCUGGAUGCUCAUAUUGGCUCCCAUAUAUUCUACGAAGAUCUUUAUCGGUCAAACCGCAUAACAACAUACGUUGUUCCCUUUGUCAUCGGUAUGUUACUUGCCCGAGAUUCGAUCGUCGGUAUCUCAAUACCUAGUUCAAUCUCGUUACCGGCAAGUCUCUUUACUCGUUCCGUAAUGCAUCAUCCCAUGACUAACUCAUUAGUCACAUUGCUUGCAAGGCUUAUAGGGAUGUGCAUUACCGAGAGGGCCCAGAGAUACCUCUCCGAUACACGGAGUGACAAAUCCUUAUCUCGAUCUAUGCCAACCCAACAAACACCUUCGGAGACAUCUGUAGAGCAUCUUUAUAAUUACCCAGUUACAUUGUGACGUUUGAUAGCACACUAAGUGUUCCUCCGGUAUUAGGGAGUUGCAUAAUCUCAUAAUCAGAGGAACAUGUAUAAGUCAUGAAGAAAGCAAUAGCAAUAAACUAAAUGAUCAUAGUGCUAAGCUAACGGAUGGGUCUUGUCCAUCACAUCAUUCUCUAAUGAUGUGAUCCCGUUCAUCAAAUGACAACACAUGUCUAUGGAUAGGAAACAUAACCAUAUUUGAUAAACAAGCUAGUCAAGUAGAGGCAUACUAGGGACACUCUGUUUGUCUAUGUAUUCACACAUGUACUAAGUUUCCGGUUAAUACAAUUCUAGCAUGAAUAAUAAACAUUUAUCAUGGUAUAAGGAAAUAUAAAUAACAACUUUAUUAUUGCCUCUAGGGCACAUUUCCUUCAGGUACAAGAACUCUAACUCAGAACUACUGUGAUGCUCAACCACUAUCUAAGUUUGGGCUCUUCAUUUUUCUCUCGAUGGAUCUUAAACACAAAUCACUCGGAGAGGGGAUUCUCAACCAAUCUUCUCGGAAAUCUUAAGCGAAGCAGCCAACGGGCAACGUUGGAGCAGGGUGGCUAUUUAUAGCCGCAGCCUUCCCGGAUGGGAAAAGACCAAAUUGGACAUGUGCAGCAGCCAAUGGCCGAGCGACACGAGUCCAACGGUAACAUUACUUGUGGAGCAAGUAAUGCUAACUUCUCAGUUCGAAUGAUAUCUCCUGCAGCACGAAGAACAACGUCUACUACUCGCAGGUAAUCAUUCAAAACACAAAAAGAUUUCUCUCGCAUCUUUCAGAGGUUUGGGCUAAGCAUCAUGGCGGAUUUAAGCUUCGAGAACCUAUACCCCCCUCUUAAUGGUACGGAGGUUCUAUGACUCAAAUAAAUGAAAGAAGAACAACGAAAUGAAUACUACGUCUUCACUUUGUCUUCGACUUCGACUCGUUGCAGUCAUUUUUCUUCGAACAGAAACUCCAAACCAAUUGCUUCACGUGAAGUCGUCAACAAUAAUCUUCGAGAGGUUAAAUCCUUCACAUCAGUCUUCUCGCCUACAUGUCUUCAAUAGAUGUAGCUCGUUCUUCUCUGCAACGCGGAUAUUUUUUUGGUGAAGUUCCUCUAACUUGGCACCACGGACAGCAUUCUCCUCGGUUCUGCAUGGACUAUUUCUCUCUGUGUGCACUAGCAAACAAAUCAGUCCAUGCAUGUUUCUGUCAACAAUCUCCAAAACACAAGAGGGUAAAUAUUGCACAAACAUGACAAAACAGAACACAUCGAAGGAUAGAUGACUGAAUGAAAUGGAAUGUGAAGGAUAAUGAAAGACGAGAGAUAAUUACGAAGAUGAAACACGCUCCCCCUGAAGAUAUGCAUCGAAUGCAUAGAAAAUGAAGCGGGAGGUAGCGAGAUGAAUCUUCGUACGAGUAGUAUUGACAAAUGAUCUCACUCGUGGUCUCUUUCAAUACACUCGACAGAGUUUGAGAUGUUUCCUGUCACAUACAAUCUUGAAACAGAUUUGUUAGAUAGAGUGAAUCCUUUGAAAUGAUUUGUGACGAAUGAUAAGCCAUGAAGGUUUUCUCAGAACACGGUUUGAAUCCACACGAGAUAUAAGUUCCAUGCAAGUCAGAUACUCGAAGAGAAUCAGAGCAAGGGAAUUAUGGGUAUAUUGCUUGGAGUAGAUUUGCCUUAGGUAAGAUUUCCCUGCAACAAAUGUGAUACAAAGGAUAUAUGUGAGGAAAAAUAGCUUAAGAACAGAUAGAUAGAGUUCACUUUUGAUUCUCAUGAUAUUUUAGUCUGAAGCAACUUUCUUCUUCUGCAAGGUUAGAUAGCGAAAGAUAAUCAUAGUAGCAUAUCUAAACUUGAGACACAUAUAGUUUUAAGGAGUAAAAUAUCUCUUCUUAGGGAUGCAAGAUUUUCAAUCCUACUUGAAACGCUUUCAUUUUCCCUGCAUGAUAGGUAAGUAUUGAAGAUAAUUAUUGCAAGGAAAUGAGCUUUCGAUAGCACCUGCAGACAAAUAGCUGGAAGCGAAAUAUCAUUGUAGGGGGUUAUUAAUGGUACAUGACAACCAAGUAUUUCAACACUACAUGUGGUGCUUUUAAGUUCCAUAGGCAAAAAGUUCGGCGAAACCAAAUUGCUCGGAGAAAAGCAAAUGGCGAAUGGAAACACCCAGCAAAUAACCCGCUUAUCUAUCACUCGAUGUUCUUCUCCCCCUUUUGUCAACAAGUGUCAAAAAGGAAAGAGAAUGCAUGCGAGGAACUACUCGUCCGAAGAACCCUCAGAAUCGGAACUCGAACUGUUCGGCGAUGCAGAAUGAGCGAUGGUUGAGGCCGAAGCAGGAGUUGGAGACGCAGCUUUGGCUUCGAGAUCAGCUUCGGGAGUAGCAGCGCGAGGUGCAUCUGGCUUGAAUACAAGUGGUCCUGCUGUGUCUUCAAGAACAUCAUCAGGUUCAACAAACAGUAGGUCAAUGGAGUCAGAACGUUGAGGAAGCACUGGAGUUUGUCUUCGGAUGCGAGGAACUUCAAACAACUCCAGAUAAUCAUAUUCUUUCUCGAUGCCCUUGGCAGACAGUUGCUUCCGAGAGUAAUGCUUGCGUAAAAGGGUCCAGGAACGCUUCUUUUGUUCCUUUUCAUACAGAAGAGCUUGGCAAGCAUAACUGUGAAGCUUAUUCAUCUCAAUCAUUAUUUCCAUCUUCUCUUUUACGGUCGAGCUUGAUAUGAAUUUCCAAUGCUUGCUGAGUGCGAAGCAAAUCUCGUACAGAGAAGGAUUUUCAUCACGAGGGAUUUCAACUUUUGCUUUCAUGACCUUCGGAACCGCAGCAGGAGUAGACACAGAAGCAUGAGUUGUAGCAUCAAUCGAUAUUUUCCCUUUGCCGAUUUCCUUCACAAUUUGGAGUGUGUCACGAACUGAUGGCAUGAAAACUUUCGGGACAUGCGGGAAGAAGAACAUUUCCUCAAUAAGUUGCAUGAUGGCAAACAUGAUCCAAGGUGCAUAUGGCUUCAAGGCUUGAGGGUUAUUAGCUGCAUAGGCCAAGUUGCGGAUGAAAAGAUCCAGAACAUCAAAACGAAUCCCCUCAGGAUGACUAAAAGAGCAUUUGCCACGAUGCCUUGAAUGGUUUCUGGCCUAUUGGUUGGCGUGAGCGAAUUGCAUAGGAUAUAGAACAUCACUUUGUUCACAUACGCCAGAUUCUUUGGAUUUGCUUCAAUACACUCAUCACCAACAAGCUUGGGGUCCAUCAGCAUAUGAAGUUGAGCUUCGGUUACUUCCCAAUAGUGCAGUAUAUGUUCACAAGCAACAUCAAAUUUGCACUGAGGAAGAUUCAACAGUGCUAAGAACUAGUCAGCCGAACAUUUGAUCCUUUCCUCUCCUCUUAUCCAUUCGAGGAUCCAAGUACUACUGUCUGCAAGGUCUCCUGAGAUAUAAAGAGUGGCAUUGAACUGAAGGAUUACUUCACGAUUCCAGCCAUGAUUGAAACGAAGGAAACUCUUCGGGAAGACUUGUUCAAACUUCUCGAUGGUAUGAUGAAAGCAAGGUAUACUUUCGAGCUCAGCGGAAUCUCGAAUCUUGUGCUUGAAAAUUCGAUUCUUCUCAUACAGAAUAUGAGCAUAAUACACAGCAUGUUCUUUUGUCCAGAAUCUUGGAGACAAAGAAGAUCUUUCUCCUUCAUAUGGGCUGGUCCCAAAGAAUGCAAGUUUUGAAUGGUGAACUAGUUCAUUGAAAGCAGGACCAUUUGGGCCAUCUUCGAUAGGAAACAAGCAAAAUGUUUCCAGUGGGUUUCUCAGUUGUUCUUCUUCACUCAUAUCCCUGGUCCAAAUGUCAUCAGGUGCAGGCACACCUUCAUCUAUAGGCUUGAGAGGAGCAUGAUGCUUCCUUGAUUUCUUUUGUUCAGAUUGCUUAGAAGAACUUGAUGGUGUGUCAUUUUCGCUUCCUGAAACUCCUUCAGCAGCAUUCUUUCUUUCGGGCACUAGGGCCUUUUCUUUCGCUGUAUUUUCUUCGGCGGGAGGCACAAUAACCUCUUUCUCAGAAGUUUGGGGCACAACUGGUGGGGAAACUUCUUCUAGAGCCAUCGGCUCAUCAGGUUUAUUUUCUUCCUCCUCCAACUGUGGUGCAGUGGAACGAGGAGCAAGAUCAGCAUCCAUCUGGGUAGGGGCACCAGAUGAUGUGACUGAGGUGCUUUUAUCUCGGGAAGCAAUUAGCUCUCCCUCAAUGUUGUCAUUCUCCUCCUUAUUUGAUUCAGAGGGCUCAGCUUGCAUAGUUUUCGAAGGUGAUGGAUUUUCCUUUUCAACCUCAAUUUCUUCAUGAGUUUUAUCAUCUAGGGCUUGCUGCUCAGGCAAUGCAUUUUCUUCAUCAGACUUGUUCAGAAAGAUAUCAACGACAUCAGGUUCUUGGGUUGUUGGGGUAGGAAUGAUAACCUACACUUGCCCAGCUUGCUGCUGGUUCAUCCUCGUGAGUUAGUGAAGGUGGAAUCUGCUGUAAUGGAGUACUGGAAUCAAGUGGAUCAGCAGCCACAAUCUGAAGGCGGCGAUCUUUGAUUCCUUUCGGUUUGCUGGCUCUUGUCUUAGCUUGACGUUUCUCUUCUUGAAUUCUCCUUCGAGGCCAUGCGGUCCAUCUCAUCAUUCCUUCUGUCACACACCUAAGAUAUUUCCAUUUUCAGGCGUGAGUGCCAAUCAAUUUUGUCAUUCCUCAUGAGACAUAGGGCCUUGGUAAGUUCAACAAUCUCUUUGUUCAAAGUUUUUCUUUCGGAUUCGAUGUUGGCCUCUCUCCUCACCUGCUCGAAGAUUUGCUUGUCCUUGACAUCCUGAUUCAGCUUCUUGGUAAUUUUCCUCAGCUCGAUGAAAUGUUUUGUUACCAUUUGGUAACAUCAUCAAGAAGUCUCAAACUGCUGAUAUCAUCAGAUUUUGCAUCGUAAGGAGCACUCUCAAUUACAUCCAUCAUGAGAUUGAAGUCAUAUUUAUGUUCCUCUGUGGAAGCAAGAACACUGGGUUUGGCCUUCUUAGCAGUUGCUUCAGAUUUUCCUUCAGAAUGAGCUUUCUCUUCGUAGAUGGAGCGGCAGAACCCGAAGGUUUGUUAGUGACUGGAGUGGGUGCAUGUCUUGGUGAUUUCCUCAGAGGGGGUGAAACUUUCACCGGUGAGGGAGUCUUGUAUGUCUUGUUGAGAAGGGCACGUUGAUCAUACAUGGGAAUUUCAUCGGGAGCUUCUUCAUCGGAUGACUCAUAAGAUGAGCUAGAAACAACCUUCUUUGAUUUCUUGACAACAGUGUUCUUUCGGGGAGCAUGAGGGGAAACUGACUUUCCGAACUUGCUUCCUCUGGAAGCACGAUCCUUUUUCUUCUGCACGUCUUGCUGAGUCAACGCGACGUUUUUAGCUUCGACUUGACUUUUCUUCACGGCCCUAGCAUCAGGCUUGGCUUUGGCCUUCGCCCUCUUGGCUACUUCAUCGGGAAAAUCCACGAUGGUUUUGAGGGAGUCGGGAUGAGCGUUUGAAGGUGCUGGUGGUCUGACUUUUUCAUCAUCUGGCCCAAUGCAAUUUUCUGCAAUGCAGUCAUUCCACGGAGGUGUGAAUGCAAAUAGGAUCUGAUACUUCUUGCAAAUGCUCUCAUAGUUGAACCAUUUCUACGCCCAGUGGCGGCGAAUCCUUUGCAGCCUAUUGUUACGUUCAGUGGUUGUUUCAACUCCAGGUGGAGGUUUGUAGCCAUCUGGUUCAUACAUUUCUGGUGUGGUAUUCUUCUCUCUGCCACAACCACCCUUCUUAGGAUUUCCAUCGGAGAACAUGGUUAGAGCGUCAGUGACUAGUUCAUCCUCGGACUGACUAUGAGCAGAGGGAACUUCUUCAUCAUCUCCUUCGGAUUCAGACUUAGAUUUCUUCUUUGAUGUCUUGGGAGGAUUUGAUGAUUAUCCUCCUCGUGUCAAUCUCAUUCGGUCUGACCUUGGUGGUGGUUGAGGCAGUUCUCCUUCAGAAUAGAUACAAGGGAAAAUGAGGUAGGGUCAUAAAUAUGCACAGAGGUUUUUUUUUACAAAACGAAAAGAUUUCUGGAGGAAACAUAGGAAUCCAUGGUGUGCUUGGAGAAGAUAUCUUUGAUAGAUUUUAACCUAGCCAUAGAAAGCUCACGACUGGUCAAACUAUCUAAUCUUUCGGACAAGUACUCAUGAACCCUAGAUUUAGGAGAACUAGUAUGAGGAAAAAACUAAACCGUACCAGUCAUAACCUAGUGAUUCCUAAAGAUCUACAGUAGUGGAAUAAAUCAACGAAUAUGCAUCCGUAAGAACUACCCUACGAACAGAGGAAGGAGCAGGAGCAGUUUCGGAUAUAGGCACCAUAACUUGGCAGCAUAGAUUAACUACGGCAAUGCGGAAAAGGAAGAUUACCGCACGGGCGUGAUCAACUGCGACGAGACUUCACUGGAGUUGCACGGGGAGGCACUUCGCCGGAGUUGCUUCGAGCUCGGGCUUGGGAGAUGGUGGAUGAGGGUUUGAGGAACAAAUGAGGAAGAAGACACCAGGAGGGGUAUUUAUAGCUAGCAAGCAGAAGCACCUCUCCGAAAUCUACGGCCCUCAGAUGCGGGACGUUCCACAUUCAACGGAUGCGAUCAUGAUCAUGGGGAUCGUGGGCACGUGGCAACCGUUUUGUGCGAAAAACUAAGAAACUGAGCGGGAGGCCGAAGGUUUUGAAGGAGGGAAGUGCCAAAAACAGAUUAAAGUUCGAAGUCGAUUUCUUUCAUGACCAAGGAUGCCGAAAAGAAAUUUUCUUCAGAUCAAGUUGCAUGUUUAUGACGGACAUCAUAGAUUGGAUGAGAAAGAAUAGAGGCAUAAAAGGGUCCGAAACAAAACACUCAGCCAAAUGAGAGGAAACACAAAAGCACGGUGCUAUGAGUGAGUUGUUCAUCGGACGAAACACAAACACAGAGAAGCGAAUCAAAAGCAAAUAAACACAAGGAACGAGCACCAACAAUAUACGUCUCGGGACUAAGAAUAAGCGAUUAGAAUCCCUGAGAGAGUUCCUGCAAAAGAGGUUAGUUCUUUUUCGCAACCCACACUUGCAUGGGCAGCGGGCAUCUCUUUUGCUUAGUGUAAGUGGGGACAUUCCUUUGGUGUGAUCUGUAGUUCACCUUUGCAUUUCGAGAGUAAUCAUAUGAAUAAGCAUUGAAAUUGUUUCCAGAGACAUGAGCAUAAUGAUUUGAGGAGGUACGCUUGUACUCCUUCUGUCGAAGGUUUGACCCAUAUCCAUUCGAGGAAGUUUUUGUUCCAGUCUGCGAAUGAUAAUAAUUUCUCGAAGAGAAUCACUCUGCAUAUUCAAGUUAGCAGUGAUAGAUAAAUUUUCAAUAAUGCACUUCUUCACCCAGAUUUGCUUCUUGUGUGAGCCAGACCUGCAGUUAGUUCCAACAUACCGAGCGAAAACCUUACCAUUCAGUUGCUUGAAGAAUUUAUAGUUUGAGUCAUCAGAUUCAUCAGUAACAACAGAAAUGGGAGAGUCAUAUCCAGACAUAAUUGCAGGUUCGAGAAUUUUAAUUUUAGCAAGAACCCAACUCGUUCGAGGAUAUUGCUCGGGAGUCCAGUAGGUUCCAUCGAUGUUGAUUUCCUUUCGAAACCCAAACCUUCCUUUCGAGGAUUUUUGUGCAGUAUAGACUUCUUGAGCACAUCACAAAGAGUUUGAUGCCCUUUGAGGCUCUUAAGCAUUCAUGUCUCAAGCAAGCUCUUUAAUAUGCAAUUUUCAUCAGACACAACAACAAAUUCCUCGGGAGAGGGGUUAGAAAAAUCAUUCGUAGUAGUUGCAACAUUCUCGAUGACAGCAGUAGAUGUUUCAGCAUUAGAAUCAGCAUUCCGACGUUCUAGGCAUUUUAAGCAAGGAGGAACCAAAUCAUCAGGAAGCAGUGUAGAUUGCUCAGCGAAGAGAGAAUCUUUUUCUUUCGCAAGCUCGUUAUGAGACUCUUUCAGUGACUCGAGUUCUUGAUUCCUGUUAAGGAGUUCGUGUGAUAAAUUCUCGUAGUCGACUGUAAGGGAAUCAUAUCGGUUGGAAAGAUCAUCAAUAGUUGAAGAAAAAGCAUCAUGCUCUUUGAUCAACUUUUGAUUCUUCUCCAUCUCUUCGACCAGUAAUCCUUUGGUUUUCCUAAGAUAAUUCUCAAGUUUUUAAAGCUCAUCUUGUUGAGAUUCGGCAAUCUUAACCAGUUCAGCAUAGGCAAGGUAUUCAGGAGAAUAUUCAGUCAUAGACUUUCGGUGUUUAGCUGAUACCUGAUCCUUUGAGGUUUUUGCCAUUAAGCAGAAUGCAAUGGGCUCAUCAUCACUUGAGGCAUUGUCAUCAGUGUGUGAUUCGAGUGAUUUCUCAGAUGAUCCAUAGGCAAUGAAGGCAUUGCUUCUUCCUCGCCUUCUAUGAAGCUCUUCAUCUUUUGAUUCUGAUCCGAAUGUCUCAGCUUCUGAUUCCAAGUUCAUAUCAGCACAAGCUUUAUUCAGCUGCGAUAUUUUCUUCAUGUUAGAUUCGAUGGUUGCUCUGGCUUUCACGUCAGUGACUGGUCUUGUCGAAGAAGAUGAGGAAGAUGCUGGGUAACGUAGCAAUAAUUCAAAAUUUUCCUACGUGUCACCAAGAUCAAUCUAGGACAUGCUAGCAACGAGAGAGAGGGAGUGCAUCUUCAUACCCUUGAAGAUCGCUAAGCGGAAGCGUUACAAGAACGCGGUUGAUGGAGUUGUACUCGCGGCGAUUCAAAUCGGGGAAGAUCCGAUCUAGCGCCGAACGGAUGGCGCCUCCGCAUUCAACACACAUACAGCCCGGGGACGUCUCCUCCUUCUUGAUCCAGCAAGGGGGGAGGAGAAGUUGAGGGAGAACUCCAGCAGCACGACGGCGUGGUGGCAAUGGAGCUCGUGGUUCUCUGGCAGAGCUUCGCUAAGCACUACGGAGGAGGAGGAGGAGUUGGAGGAGGAGAGGGCUGCGCCUUGGAUGUGGUGCGGCUGCCCUCCCACCCCCUUCUAUUUAUAGGGGCAAGGGAGAGGGGGGCGGGCCCCCUCCAGAUGGAUCUAGAUGGGGGGCGGCGGCCAAGGGGGGAAGGCUUGCCCCCCAAGCCAAGGGGGGUGCCCCCUUUAGGGUUUCCCCCAAACCCUAGGCGCAUGGGCCCUAGGGGGGUUUGGCGCUCAGCCCACCUAGGGGCUGAUUCCCCUCUAUAUUCAGCCCAUAGGGCCCUCUGGGGCAGGUGGACCCCCGGAACCCUUUCGGUGGUCCCGGUACAAUACCGAUAGACCCUCGAACACUUCCGGCGACCGAAUAAGGACUUCCCAUAUAUAAAUCUUUGUCUCCGGACCAUUCUGGAACUCCUUGUGACGUCCGGAUCUCAUCCGGGACUUCGAACAACCUUUGGUAACCACAUACUAUUUCCCAUAACAACUCUAGUGUCACCGAACCUUAAGUGUGUAGACCCUACGAGUUCGAGAACCAUGCAGACAUGACCGAGACGUUCUCCGGCCAAUAACCAACAGCGGGAUCUGGAUACCCAUGUUGGCUCCCACAUGUUCCACGAUGAUCUCAUCGGAUGAACCACGAUGUCGGGGAUUCAAUCAAUCCCGUAUUCAAUUCCCUUUGUCCAUCGGUAUGUUACUUGCCCGAGAUUCGAUCGUCGGUAUCCCAAUACCUCGUUCAAUCUCGUUACCGGCAAGUCUCUUUACUCGUUCCGUAACGCAUGAUCCCGUGGCUAACUCCUUAGUCACAUUGAGCUCAUUAUGAUGAUGCAUUAUCGAGUGGGCCCAGAGAUACCUCUCCGUCAUACGGAGUGACAAAUCCCAGUCUCGAUUCGUGCCAACCCAACAGACACUUUCGGAGAUACCUGCAGUGCACCUUUAUAGCCACCCAGUUACGUUGUGACGUUUGGUACACCCAAAGCAUUCCUACGGUACCCGGGAGUUGCACAAUCUCAUGGUCUAAGGAAAUGAUACUUGACAUUAGAAAAGCUCUUAGCAAACGAACUACAUGAUCUUGUGCUAUGCUUAGGAUUGGGUCUUGUCCAUCACAUCAUUCUCCUAAUGAUGUGAUCCCGUUAUCAAUGACAUCCAAUGUCCAUGGUCAGGAAACCAUAACCAUCUAUUGAUCAACGAGCUAGUCAACUAGAGGCUUACUAGGGACAUGUUGUGGUCUAUGUAUUCACACAUGUAUUACGGUUUCCAGUUAAUACAAUUAUAGCAUGAACAAUAGACAAUUAUCAUGAACAAGGAAAUACAAUAAUAACCAUUUUAUUAUUGCCUCUAGGGCAUAUUUCCAACAGAAGAUUCAUUUUUCUUCGAGAGCUUAGCGUGACAAUCCAUUCGAGUGUGAAUCCAUUUCCGUGAAGAUACAUCCAUCUGUCGCUAGGUUUUGCAUCCCAGCAUGGACAGUCUUCUAUUAGGUGACCGAAUUGCUUGCACUUGAAACACUUCAUUUCUUUCGGUGGUAACUGUCUUGAAGAUUCAGGCAAGUCAAACUCAUCAUCAUUUGUAAGACACAAAUUCUGUCUUCUGAGAUCACUUAGCCUUUCUGUAAGCAUUUCCAGUUCCCUUGUGAUAGUGUGUUGAUUCUCAACAUCUUCUUCUUGUGAACUGCCAUAGUGUGAAAUAAUUUCCCCUUCACCCUCCGAAGAAGAUUCUUGAUCUCCAUUUUAAAUUUCCAUCUUUUCUUCAUGAAUAGACAAUAGUGUCAUGACCUCGACAUGGUGAGUUCUUCAUAGUCUGGUCUUUGCUUGAUUUCAGCUACUAUUGGAUCACAGGUUGCAUCAAGAGAACUUAGUAGCUUGUUGACCACAUCUCUAUUGGUGAUAUUUCUUACGCCUCGUUGAUGAAGUCUUUCAACAAUAUUGGUCAACCGAUUAGUGAGCUCCAUGGCACUUUCCUUACGCAGACUCCUGAAACCAGCAAACAUGGCACGAAGCAUUUCAGUGUGAGAAUCUGUUCUGGUAAAAAAUUAUUCAUGCACAUUUUUUAUGGCAUCCCAAAGUUGCUUUGCAGUGUCAAGCUUUCGGAACCGAAGGAAAAUGUCUUUCGAGAUACUUCCACAGAUAAUAUCUUUUGCACGUGCAUUCAACCGCAGCAUAGCUUUGUCAUCAAAAUUUGGAGCAUCAGGGUGCUGAAUGCUAUAUCCAUUUUCCACAAUCUACCACAGUUCUAUGUUGAUGGCUUGAAGUCUGAUUCUCAUUCUUUCUUUCCAGUAGAUAUAGUCAUUUCCAUUGAAGAUAGGAAAUCUUUCAGAGUGCCGGGAUCUACCUCCAUACGACAUACUCAAUACUCCAAGGUUGUUAGACCUUUAAUAAAUAGAGACAGUGAGUACCUACCCUGAUACCAAUUGUUAGGACCGAGAGUAUAUCGACCAGAGGGGAGUGAAUGGGAGAUUCAAAAAUUCUUUCGAAUGUUUUGAACAUAUCCCAAACACAGCAGCGGAAAUAAGGUUCGGUAGAAAAUAACUUAACCAAGCACACUAGAGUGGAACAUAUCUUUCGAAGAAGGCAGCAAUAAUCAUUCGAGCAUAGGUUAUCACAGGCUUGACAAUGAUGAUGGGAAUGCAAUAUGCAAACAGGUGUAGGAGCAUGAAUGAAAACAGGGUAUGAACGAAGAAGGAUAACACGUAAAUGGACACGGACAAGGCAAACAGAAUGAAUAUGACUGAAAGGACUACACAGAAAGAUAAGAAUGCAAUAGGGUGAGUAACGAAUGAUAACUAUUGGGAAAGACAGAAAAUGAUAGAUACGAAUGAUAUGCAAUAGACAAUAAUAGAUCAGAUAAAUUAUCGUCACAGAGCACGAAAGAGAACUACUGAAAGUAAUGCAAUAAAGUAGAGUGAACCAGUGGUGCUCGAUGGGGACAGAUGGAUUUGGCAAACCAGUUCGCCCCUCUACCAAAGGACUACGUCUGGUUGGAGGGUUGUGAUUUAACACAGAAGAUAAACUCUCUUCACCCUAUUCUCCUUCAACUCGGAGCUGAUCGGACUCCAGUUGAUUUCACUCGUCAUAGACACUUGUCGGCGAUCUCCAAACCUUCAAUCGACCUUCGCGAACGACAAUCACUCUUGGUUGCUGAAGAUCUUGCUCGGUGAAGACAACAACUCUUCAACGCUCGAGCCGACAUCUAUCCGUCUAGAGAGUGCACAGCUCUCAAGAGUAAUAGGUACAAGAACUAUAACUCAGAACUACUGUGAUGCUCAACCACUGUCUAAGUUUGGGCUCUUGAUUUUUCUCUCGGUGGAUCUUAAACUCAAAUCACUCGGAGAGGAGAUGCUCAAUCAAUUUUCUCAGAAAUCUUAAGCGGAGCAGCCAAUGGACAACGUUGGAGCGGGGUGGCUAUUUAUAGUCGCAGCCUUCCCUGAUGGGAAAAGACUAAAUUGGACAUGUGCGACAGCCAAUGGCCGAGUGACACGAGUCCAACGGUCGGAAAUUGAGCACAACGGUAACAUUACUUGCGGACCAAGUAAUGCUAACUCCUCUAUUCGAAGGAUAUCUCCUGCAGCACAAAGAACAACGUCUACUGCUGGCAGAUAAUCAUUCGAAACACAAAGAGAUUUCUCUCGCAUCUUGCAUAGGUUUGGGCUAAGCAUCAUAGCGGAUCUAAGCUUCGAGAACCUAUACCCCUCUUAAUGGUACGGAGGUCCUAUGACUCAAAUAAAUGAAAGAAGAACAACGAAAUGACUACGACGUCUUCACUUUGUCUUCGACUUGCAGUCAUUUUUCUUCGAACAGAAACUCCAAACCAAUUGUUUCACGUCAGCAAUAAUCUUCGAGAGUUUAACUCCUUCACAUCAAUCUUCUCGCCUACAUGUCUUCAAUAGAUGUAGCUCGUUCUUCUCUGCAACGCAGAUAUUUUUUUGAUGAAGUUCCUCGAACUUGGCAUCGGAGAGAGCAUUCUCUUCGGUUCUGCAUGGACUAUUUCUCUCUGUGUGCACGAGCAAACAAAUUAGUCCAUACAUGUUUCUGUCAACAAUCUCCAAAACACAAGAGGACAGAUAUUGCACCAACAACAUUUUAUACUUAUUCAACAUUUUUCAAAUACUUGUUCAACAUUUUUAAAUACUUAUUCAACAUUUUCCAAUAUUCGAAUAUAUAUAUUUCAAGUAUUCUAAAGUAUAAACAAAAGGGGAGGGACGUUUUGGAGGCCGAGCUGCCUGAAGGCCGCUAUCUAGUGCGUACAUUGUGGCACUGGGAUCCGCACUCUCAGGCUUUCCAGGUCAUAUACGAGUGCUAUCUAGGAGAAAUACAUCGGUGCCAUUCUCUCGUGUUCCCAAAUUGUACUUUGGCCUCCGGUUGGACGAUGAUUGCAAGAACAUGACGUGCCUCCUGGGCGGGUUUGAAUUUAGAAGCGCUGCUAUGCCUCACCUGUAGUCGCUCAGAUUGUGCGAAGCAGCGGCACGUCCGUCCAGCACAUAGGCGCUGCACGCACAAAGGAGCACAUGCAGGCCUAGUUAUUUUUCCUUUUUUUUCUAUUUGAUUUUUUUGUUUUUUCUUCUAGUUGUAUUUAUUCUUUAAAAGAGGUUCGAAGGUAUUGCAGAAUUGUCCAUCGCACAUUAGAACCAGUCUUGAUUGUGUAUUAAAAAAAAGUUCAAAAACAUGUCCACCACACAUUCAGAAAGAAAAUGUUCGUCUUAUAUAUGAAAAUUGUUCAUCGCGUAUUUAGAAAAUGUUGGCAUGUAAAAAUAUUCACUGAUUUAAAAAUUGACCAUGUGUAUUUAAAAGAUGUUCAUCGUGUAUUGGGAAAAUAUUCAUCGUGUAUGUGAAAAUUUCAUCACAUACUGAAACACAAAUGUUCAUCAGGUAUGUGGAAAAUGUUUAUGACAUAUAUAAAAAAAGUGUUCAUCGUGUAUUUCAAAUAUGAUCAUCAAAUAUUUAAAAAAAUAUUCACCACAUAUACAAAAGUAUUUUAGAGAAAAAUGAUCAUCGUUUGGUUAGUGACAUCGCCCGUAUAUCUAAUCCCCAAGGGGAACAGGGGAAGUAUCCGGUGCACCUGUUCUCAAGAACUCUCAUUUCUGAGGUUGAAUAUUCUUGAAGUUUUGUGGAGAUGGAAGUUUAAAGUUGCAUUCCAAAAGUUUAAAAUUUAUGUUGAAACAAAUAUACAACCACAAGCACGUAUUUUGGUGAUGAGAGCUAGGCCAUGGAUUCAGACCAUUUCGUUCUCCAAGCAAAUGUUUUCUCAUUAUUAUUUGUACAGCUAUGUUUCAAAUUUGGAUAGAAAAUUAGAAGUGUUAUUGUUCGUACUACAACAUAAUUAUUUGCAGAACUUUUCGUAAAUUGUAAACUUACAAUUUUAACUCAGGUGGUACAAAAUAACAAGGUGCAACACUUAUUUGUUCCAUCUAGCAGUGCAUAGACAGAAUGGGUGAGGCGAUGUAACGUGUGUGAACAGAUGGCACUAUGGCUCGUCUAUAGGGUGACUGACGAGCCAGAUAACGAGCUUCAUGGUGCUCGGCCUCCAAACGGCAUUUCCCAAACAAAAGUAGACAAAAAGAGUAAAAAAGGAAAACAGAGGACAGAAAGAAAAAAAAAACAGAAAAAGGAGGCUGGAGCUUCCCGCACGGAUGAGCAGCAGCCCAUGUUCGCUCCUGUCUCACUGAACGCAAGGAAUAGGGGCGCCCAGCACGGCGGGCUUCACUCCAAGGUAGAAGCACAAUAAAAUCCCUGUGUGCACACGAGAUGUCCCAGACUCGUGGGCGUGGUAUCCUGAUAAGAAGGGCAUUUUCUCGGUCAGCUCAGUGUAUAAAAUGAUGAUUAGCACAAAGAUAGAAAGAGAAGGCUGGUUGGAAGGGCGUGGCGGUCCCUCAGAGACAUCAACAGAGGAGAAGGCCUGGAGUUCGCUGUGGCAACUGCAAGUCCCUUCAAAAAUUUGUGUGUUAAUUUGGAGACUUGCAAGGCAUUCUUUACCAACUACAGAUGUUCUUCAUAAAAGAAAUAUGGUUGUCCAAGAUGCCUGUCCUUUAUGCGGAGGAGAAGACUCAUGGCGUCAUGCACUAGUGUCUUGCACAAUGGCUAGAUGUACAUGGGCACUAUCAGAGGAAGUUAUUGUCGUAUGAGCGAGAAUGUCGUGCCAAGUGCUAAGCAUUGGCUGUUUGAUCUCUAUGAAACCUUGAACUAUGCUAGUUUCACGAGAAUGGCAGUAACCCUUUGGGCCAUUUGGUACGAGAGGCGGAAGGAGAUCCAUGAAAACAUGUUCCACAGCCCGUGAACUCUUAUCUUCAGGAGCUACAAACAGUUCCGAAACUGUUGGAACAGCCGCGCAUAAUCGUUGCAUAAUGCUGACGGGGCUGUUUCGAGUAAUGCCAGUAUGGGUGUGGCUGCUGCGAUAUGCCGAGACCACACUGGAGAAUAUCUAGGCGCGUCGGCUGUCGUCUUUCGUGGCAUCUCUGAUCCAACAAUUCUUGAGGUAUUAGCAUGUCGAGAAGCAAUGGCAUUGGCAGAAGACCUGAACAUUCAGAGAGUGCGCAUUGCAAAUGAUUGUCAAGGAGUGGUAAAGGACAUCAACACAGGAAGCAGAGGGCCACAUGCAGCGAUUCUACACGAAAUAACAGAACAGAGGAGUCUUUUCCUUUCCUGUAAUUUUGUUUUCAAACGUAGGAAUUUUAAUUUCAAGGCUUGCUAGCGUCAUGUCUGGUUGGGCAUGCCUCACGACCUGAACAUUGUACCCAAGGCGAGAAUUCUCAAAAAAAAAAAAGGUAGAAGCACAAUAAGAUGGUACUGAUUAUGUGGACAAGACUGGUAAGUCCGUCCAAACAGUUGUCCAUGUACCAGUAGAAGAUUCCGCAGCUACUGCAGCCCCUGCUUCUUCAGGCGGAACCUCACCCUGAAAACUUCUGCCAAGAUAUCAGUAUCCUUUGGGGUGUAGUAAGUCAAUUUCUAAUCUUUAACUUUGAGGCCAACGUCUAGAAGGCCCGUUAACAGAUUGGUUUAUAGGAACAAUGCAAAGUUGCCCAGAUGAAGCCACACCAAAAAUAAUCGCAGGCAGAGUGACCUUGGUAAUAUCUUUUCCAUCAGUAUCAAUAUUGGUUGCAAAAUAAAUAAAUGGGAUAACAAUCUUUAACCCUACAACAAUCAAAUCGGAAGUAGCACAUAAUAAUGAUACACAAUCUAGUCGCCUAAACCGCCACCCACACCUUGUAAGGCCUGCGCCCCCUUCAAAAACGGAUCCAUUACACAUAUAAGAGAAGAACAGGUACGGUAGCUUUGUUAAAUAAGACCGUCUUUCCCGCAAAGCCCCUACGGACACAACUAUCUUGGCAGAGAGAGAUGCUCUAG
RNAcentral lists this long non-coding RNA (44484 nucleotides) under Triticum aestivum (bread wheat). RNAcentral's name for it is "long non-coding RNA (TAES_LNC004850)". The record is from RNAcentral. Lineage: Eukaryota; Viridiplantae; Streptophyta; Magnoliopsida; Poales; Poaceae.